AGAAAAAGCAGCCAGCUUUGUUUUGUUUUUAUUUUGGUUUAGUAAAAACACACUUCCCACACUAACUUUUGAAACUUACACGUGGCACAGAGGGGGAUCAGUUCCAGUUGAUAUGAGCCUGGAAGAAGAGAGGGAGGAAAUAACUUAAUUGCUUUAGACUUUAGUUCAGCUGGAGUCGAGAGGAAAGAAUCAGUGUCCCUUUUUUGGAAUUCAGCAAGAAGGUCGUGUUCUUGGUGAGGACAGAUCCUCUGCAGGUUUUGUGGAGGUACUGUACGGAGCGCUGCGGAACAUUCACAAAGCAGGUGGCUUUAUAUUUAAAACAGUAACUCUGCUGUCAGUGACAAAAAGCUGUGUUGCUUUCUUGGAAGUAUUGCUGCACUUAGAGCAUACUAUGUUAUAAACAGUAUGUUCCUCUCUUUUUGAAAUGUGAGGCUUCUGGGUUAAACAUGACCUGGGGGGGUGGGGGGUGGAGAGUGUGUGUGUAUGUGUGGUGGAGGGUUGUUUUCAUGUUUAGUGCUGUAAUAUUGGGCUUAGAAGAUAAAAAAAAGAGAUUGGGUAGAUGGGGUGUUAUAUCAAAUCUGGGGACUUUGCCUCUAAGACAUUUGUAGUUUCAGUUUAUCUAUCCCUGGUCCCUGAAUAUCAGUUGAUGGGUUGAAAACCAAGGGGAGUUAAAGGAGUGGGAGAUGAAAUGCAGGAAAAACUGCUGAUCUGUCUGUUUGUGGGUAAUUUGAACAAGACCCCCAGGGAAUGGGAGGACAUUCCCACCUGGAAUUCAGAUUUUGUGUUGAAUGCCGCUAAAAUUAAAGAUCUCGUAACAGAUAGUGCAGCUCCGGUAUCCUGCAGUGAAAUGCUAAAGCACGCACCGUCUCUGCUUUUCUUCUGUCAAUUCCAGCAUGCUUUCUUUUGGCAUCUCUCAUGGAUCUUGCAAACUGUGUUGACAAAAAGCAAUGGCAGAUUGUUUCUUCCCCAAGUCUUUAUAUUCAGACUAUAGCUGCUUCCUCUUUCCUACUCACAUUUUCCCAUAUGGUGACUUUGGAAAAUUCCUCUCUGAUUUCGUUGGGAAGUGCAGGAAACUCUCGUUGGUAGAAGGUUGCCUAUUACUCUCUCUAAUUCUGCUGCUCACAUCUGGAAAGGAUCUGGCUUGGAAAGGGGAGACUCGCUCUGAGCUCAGCGCGUGUAACUGACAUGGCAUGAGCCGAGGGAGCCUGUGGGGGCAAGAGAAAUGUUCUUCUCCAUUCAUCUGAUUUCUGACAGCAAAGGGGCGAUGCCGGCCGGCGGCCGGGCGCUGCUGACGCUGGGGCUCCUGGCGCUGGGCUGCGCCGCCGCCCGCCCGCCGCCGGUCGCCGACAACGACUUCCCCGAGCGCUCCCCGGAGCGGCGGAGGCCGCCCGGCCCGGUCCCCGCCUGUCCCCGCGACUGCGGCUGCACCCAGGAGGGCGUCGUGGACUGCGGCGGCAUCGACCUGAAGGAGUUCCCGCUCCUGCUGCCGGAGCGGACCAACCACCUCUCCCUGCAGAAUAACCAGAUAGAAGAAAUCUUUCCAGAAGAGCUUGCUCGUCUUUACAGACUGGAAACUCUCAAUUUGCAAAAUAACAGGCUAACUUCAAAAGGGUUGCCAGAGGAAGCAUUUGAGCAUCUGGAGAACCUGAAUUACCUGUACCUGGCAAACAAUAAGCUAACAGUGGCUCCGAAAUUCCUACCAAAUACUUUGAUCAGUGCAGAUUUUGCAGCCAAUUAUCUCACUAAGAUAUAUGGGCUCACAUUUGGACAGAAACCAAACUUGAGAUCUGUGUAUCUUCAUAACAACAAACUUUCAGAUGCUGGGUUACCUGAUAAUAUGUUCAAUGGCUCUGAUAAUGUGGAGAUACUCAUUAUGUCCAGCAAUUUCUUGAAGUAUGUUCCAAAGAAUCUCCCUCCAGCACUAUAUAAAUUACACUUAAAGAACAACAAGCUAGAGAAGAUUCCCAAAGGAGCCUUCAGUGAACUUACAGGUCUGCGGGAGCUGUAUUUACAGAAUAACUACUUGACUAAUGAAGGAAUGGACAAUGAAACUUUCUGGAAAUUGUCUAGUCUUGAAUAUCUGGAUUUGUCCAGCAAUAACCUCUCACAAAUCCCAAGUGGUUUACCUCGAAACAUCGUCCUCCUCCACCUGGAGAAGAAUGCAAUUAAGGUGAUUGGCAGAGAUGUCUUGACCCAAAUUAAGAACCUGGAGUACCUUCUGCUCCACAAUAACAAAUUAAAAGCCCGAGGUAUUCACCCAUUAGCCUUCCAGGGCUUAAAGAAGCUGCACACUGUCCACCUGUACAACAACAUGCUGGAAAGAAUUCCCAGUGGGCUGCCCCGACGAGUGAAAACACUUAUGAUCCUUCAUAACCAGAUCUCUGAGAUUAACAGGAAUGACUUUGCUACCACUUACUUCCUUGAAGAGCUGAACCUGAGCUACAAUAAGCUCAAAAGUCCCCAGAUCCAUCGGGAGGCCUUCCGUAAACUGAGGCAACUAAAGUCCUUGGAUCUUUCUGGAAACAAUCUCCACACGGUGCCCUUCGGCUUUCCAAAGAACUUGCAGAUUCUGAAGCUGAAGGAGAACGAGAUAAGCAUCAUCCCAAAAGGGACUUUGUCUGGGAUGACAAAGCUGCGGGAACUGUAUUUGAGCAACAAUAAACUGAAAGUAAAUUCAAUUUAUUCACGAGCAUGGAGAGAACUCAGCAGUCUCCAGUCACUAGACAUGGCUGGCAACCAGCUGACUUCUAUCCCAUCAGACCUGCCAGAAUCUCUGGAAUAUCUGUACCUUCAGAACAACAAGAUCACAACGGUUUCAGAGAAUGCUUUUGAAUCCACGCCCAAAAUAAAGGGGAUUUACCUCAGGUUUAAUAAGAUUGCAGUUGGAGCACUGAAGGAAAGUACCUUCCAAAACCUAAAGCACUUACAGGUACUGGAUAUUGAAGGGAACCUUGAAUUCAGCAACAGUUCAAAGAAUAAGGAUGACUCAGAAGAGGAAAUGGAAGAUGAGGAAGAGGAAGAAGAACUGAGAUAAAAUGUGAACUCACACAAUCACAUCAUGUGGGAGGUAACAACUGUAGUUUAGGAAAGCAUAUGGAAAAUUACAUAUAUGUCUAUGUGUAUAUAUCUAUAUAGACAUACAGAGAACACUUAGCAAAACGUGCAAUGAAUUACGCAGAAACUGUCAUGGCACUGGGCCAGGCUCACGGAAGACAGUGUGUUACAGUGCCUUAUUCAGGGAGAGACCCUGAAUGCCUUUCCAAAGCUUCCAAAUCAUCUUAUACAAGACCCAGGAUCAUAAGGGAUUGCUCUGGAACUCACAAAAGCUGGCUUUUGUUUCUUCUGUUUCUCUUCCUUCACUGUUUCCAUCUGUAAUAACAAUAUGGGACUGUUUUGAACACAUGCCUUCAAAUGCUGUUUUUGUCACUGCAUUUUAAGUGAACCAUGUAUAUGCUUCUUUUCUUUUCCUCCACCCCAAAGAAGCUGUUGUUGAUCAGGUGAGAUGGGUAUUUGCAGUAGUUUCAUAUGUAGAGCAGUAUAUGAGGCAUUUUGGUCAUCAAGCAGCAGUAGUAAUUCUGGAUGCAACUAUUCCUCUGUUAUAACAAUGUGUAUAUUUGGAUGAGAAAAACAAAGUAAGGCUGGAUCCCAUAAUAUUUUAUCUCUACUGCCAAAGCCUGCAGUAUCUGCCUGUUUUAGAAAAGUUUUAAGAUAAAACAAUUGCUCUUGUGAAUAUAUAUAAAAAAUCUGUAUGUCUGCCUUCCA
Molecule: RNA transcript, 3762 nt
Organism: Aquila chrysaetos chrysaetos
Lineage: Eukaryota; Metazoa; Chordata; Aves; Accipitriformes; Accipitridae
Gene: PODN
Gene name: podocan
Exons: 11
Source: RefSeq, a predicted model, not a curated record